UCGAUAUUUUAUCGAUAAAAUGAUUUUUCUCUACUUCUUAAGAAAUAAACGUCUAUCGAGUAUAUAUUACUAAAGCCUGUGAGUUUUUUUUCUUGUGAUGUUAUUUUAAUUUAACUUAAACUACAUUACGCUAUGUUUUAUGCAAUAAAACAGUAAAGAGGUUUUCUAUAGGUGAAUUUUUACCUAUGUCAUUCGCGCGUUUGUCAAAUUGACUGAUGUGUAUGUGUACAUAGAGUGAGGUUAAUUUUGGGUUUAUUAUUGUUGAAUAGAUAAGUUUAUUUUGGCAGAGAAGAGAAAACGAGGAUAAACCUUUCUUGCAGAAGAAAAAGACAAGCUAGUGAAAUUGCUGACGUCUCAUAGAGACACAAUAUUAAACAAAAAACGGAUGGGACCACGAACGAAGCCAAAAACAAAGCUUGGAUCCAGUUACAAAUAGUUUUAAUGCGAUAGGAACCGUUUACAGUUUCAGGUGGUGCGAGAAAUUGGAAAGACGUGUAAAAACAUGCUGCGCCCAGCCCACCUCAAAUGAGGGUUUUCUAAAAUGGCGUCCACCAGGUGGCGCACUGAGUCGUCAGGUCCAGGUAACUGUCAAAGUGCUUAUCUUUACUAUGAAUAGUGAACGAUUUUAGUGGUUUUUUUAUUUUAUAAUUAAAGCACUGCAUUAUUGUUUUACUAUUGAGGUUGAGUAAAUAAAAAAAACUAAAUCAUAUUGUGUUAACAAAUUUUUCAACUACCAGUGACUUUUGCACCCUCUCUCUUAGCUCAAUUUUUAGUUCGGAAACCUUAUUCUGACCGUACUCCAUAAUAAAAUCAAUAACACUUCCAAUAUAACAGAAUUUCAAUAAACAAUAAGUUCGGCACCUACAAUUCCAUACUAUUUGACAGCUGUUUGGACCAGACGCAUACGUGGCGCCACCCGGUGGCAGAAAAAAUUUCAAAAACCCUCAUUGAAUUGGUGCAGGAGGAUGAUGAUAAUGUUUGGUACAUCAUAUGAGGACUAAUAUUAAAAUAUUUGUUUACUAUCUUUGUUUUAAUUUAUAUAUUUUAUUAUGUUCAAUAUUAGCCUACUUCUUACCUCCAGAGGGUAUCCCCUAUCACCUAGGAGAUAGGCUCCUCCAUAUUCACCAUUUUCGAAUCAUUGGUAUCUACUGCAGUUUUGGUAUUUAAGGCCAAUUCAAACCUGAGCGAUAUUCGCUGCCGCUGUGGGUAGAGGUAGAUACCGCACGGGUUUCGCUCAGGUAUUUAGUAUCAAGUAUAGUUACCGGCACGGAUAUUGAGCUCUCGGCGGAAGAGUGGGGAUCGCUUUGCGCACUGUACACAAGGCAAUAAACCAAUAAAUGGCUUCUGCGCAGGUUAAGGUCAGGGCUCAAUAUCCGUGCCAAUAACUAUACCUACCGCGGCUAGAGCGACCUGCCGCUGUGGGUAGAAGUACAUACCGCGCGGCAGCAGCGGCAUACGUCCCGAACAUCAACAGUAAUAUUAUCGCAUACCCACAGGGUUUUCUCUGCCGUAGACGGUAGCGAAUACCGCUUAGGUCUGAAUAGGCCUAUAGUAAGGCGGCCAACCGUCCCGCAUUCUGCGGGACCGUCCCGCAAUGCUUGACGAAAUCCCGCUUUGAAAUUAAUAGUAAAAUAGUCCCGCAAAACGUUGUAUGCGUCCCGCAUGUCCCGCAUCCCUAUUUUUCUACCACACUUCUACACAACACCCACCUGCGCGCACGCUCAACAGUGCAGGAACACAGAUUACCUAUAAUAUAAUCUCGUUCUCUUUAUUUCUACUGAACUCGUGAGGCCUAAUGAUUUUGAAAAUAAGACAUUAGUGCACGCUGUGACACGAUAUUGAUAGGUUAAAUUAUAGCUUUUUGCUUACGGUU
Molecule: long non-coding RNA, 1873 nt
Organism: Helicoverpa armigera (cotton bollworm)
Lineage: Eukaryota; Metazoa; Arthropoda; Insecta; Lepidoptera; Noctuidae
Exons: 2
Source: RefSeq, a predicted model, not a curated record